CAGUGAAGUUGAUUCUGACUCAACCCUAAUCUCGUCUGAUCAUGGAAGCUAAACAGGGUCAGAUCUGGUUAGUAUUUGAAUGGAAGAUCCCCUGGGAAUACCAGGCCAUAGA
RNAcentral lists this ribosomal RNA (112 nucleotides) under Loxodonta africana (African savanna elephant). The record is from RNAcentral. Lineage: Eukaryota; Metazoa; Chordata; Mammalia; Proboscidea; Elephantidae.